ACUGAACUUUUAAGGAGGGGGUUUGCUGCUGGCCCUUCCAAGGGGCAUCUGUGCACACCCCUCCCUCAAAAUUCCUCCUUAUACACCUGUGCAACCUCCUGCAGGCUUGGGGGAAACCUUAGGCCUGCAUCUUGCUUCACACACAACUGUACAUAUUUGUCGAGUGAAUGCUUGUUGGCUCUCUGAGCCAUAAACAUAAUCAAUA
RNAcentral lists this unclassified non-coding RNA (205 nucleotides) under uncultured Hygrocybe. Its description in RNAcentral is "sequence contains ITS1". The record is from RNAcentral. Lineage: Eukaryota; Fungi; Basidiomycota; Agaricomycetes; Agaricales; Hygrophoraceae.